UGGGGAAUUUUGGACAAUGGGCGCAAGCCUGAUCCAGCCAUGCCGCGUGCGGGAAGAAGGCCUUCGGGUUGUAAACCGCUUUGCUCAUGGAAGGAAAGAACUUCUUCGAGUUAAUACCUCGGGAGGAUGACGGUACCUGAAGAAUAAGCACCGGCUAACUACGUGCCAGCAGCCGCGGUAAUACGUAGGGUGCAAGCGUUAAUCGGAAUUACUGGGCGUAAAGCGUGCGCAGGCGGUUUUGUAAGACAGAGGUGAAAUCCCCGGGCUCAACCUGGGAACUGCCUUUGUGACUGCAAGGCUUGAGUGCGGCAGAGGGGGAUGGAAUUCCGCGUGUAGCAGUGAAAUGCGUAGAUAUGCGGAGGAACACCGAUGGCGAAGGCAAUCCCCUGGGCCUGCACUGACGCUCAUGCACGAAAGCGUGGGGAGCAAACAGGAUUAGAUACCCUGGUAGUCCACGCCCUAAACGAUGUCAACUGGUUGUUGGGAAGGUUCCUUCUCAGUAACGUAGCUAACGCGUGAAGUUGACCGCCUGGGGAGUACGGCCGCAAGGUUGAAACUCAAAUGAAUUGACGGGGUCAUAGCUGUUUCCUG
This 591-nucleotide ribosomal RNA is filed under the name uncultured bacterium. RNAcentral's name for it is "partial 16S ribosomal RNA". It matches the Rfam family "Bacterial small subunit ribosomal RNA", at positions 355 to 1376 of the family's 1533-position model. The record is from RNAcentral.